GGCGGUGCUUGUACUGGGUACUGCGUCGUUCGUUCUUGGCGUCAAUCUUUUAAAACCGCUCGCGCACGCUGGGACCGUUGGUUUAGUUAAAACACACGGCACUGGUCCACUUAUCCGAGCACUGCAGCCGACACUUUCUAUUUGUUUAACUGUUCUAAGGGGGAAAAAAAAGCGACAUUAAAUUUUUCGAAUACGGAUUGCAGAGCUUGAGCCCCAGCUGAGUAAGGACUCCGGGGUCAAUCGGUAUGAUAUAUUUUAGUAAAGUUUGACAUCACUCUGAUUUACUUUUCUUUUUUAGAUUAUAGAUAAACAUAAAUAGAAGGAUCCUGUUUUCCCGCUCUCAUCCCAGUGGACCAGCUUGAGUCCUCCCCUGGGUCCCAGAGCCUCACCUGGGCGCAGGCAGUUGUGCGGGUAACCCCUGGAGAUGGGCUGCCUGGAGUCGCGUCCUGUCCCUGAAAGCUCAAGUGCUGGGUGAGCUCAAGCUGGCCCUGCAACCUCUCCAUGCAACUUCCUCUUUAAAACAAACAGUGUUAACAACAGCUUUUGUAAGAACCUAUGAGUUUGUAUGCAAGCGUUUAGAACGAGGACGCCUGACCUUAAUAAGCCCUUAAGAAAUGAUGUGGCAGUCCCCAUUUCUUUUUCCCUCCAGUGCACACCUCCAGGCAACAAUUCCCAGCCUUGUAAGCAGAUAACUGGGGCUGCAGGACUCGUUCCAACAGGUGAUUGUGCACAGAAGUAAUGGACACACAUCUUGGCCUGCCUUCCUGUUUCUUGGUCUGCACAGCUGGAAUUGAUAGUGGAACCAGAAGAAGGUUUCAGAACCUUUUUCAGCACCACUUGGAAGAGAGCUGCUCACCCAGGAAAACCCACUUGGGAGUGCUGUAUGAGAGAGAAAUAAAAACAUACACUUCCACCGUGACACUCCACUGAAAUGCUGCGGUUUUGUCAUAGCCAUUAGCUAACCUAAUACAUAGACAUUUCUAUUAUUACUGUGCUAUUUUUUUUUUAUUCCUCCACAAUUGGACUCUUUGAGAGUGUGUUGUUUUGUGGCAGCAUUGAAAUAUCUGCAAACCACUCCUCAACCAGAUUAUAAGCCCCUCUUUGAUAUCUAUUUCUGCUAUGCCCCCCACCCCCCAGCUCCACAUCCACAGUACCUAGUGCCUCACUGAGAAAAUUGCCUGGGAAUGAAGAGAGAGCUGCCUGUCCAGGAGUGCGGUGCAAAGGUUGUUCUUUGCUUCAUUGCUUGCAUACAAACCCCACCCACUGUUCUUCUUUCCUCUCCUUUCUGUGGAUUUGCUUGUUCAUUCAUUUACUCUUUGGUAAGAGUAAAGACUUGUGCAGCCCUCCCUCUGUCCUAGGAGAUGGUGGUGAACCGGCAGACACCCCCUCUCUGCAGGGGACCUCGUUAGUCCAAUUGGCGGGUAAGCUGCAUUUCUUUUGUAAGCCAUUAGCUAACCUAAUGGUUGUUGGUCUUGUGAGCUGCUGCCUGUCCCAUAAACCAUGGCAUCCCUGCUCCCCAUGUUGAGCCAGGGAGGGAGGAAAGAAGACUGUUACGAUGGCAGUGUGCAGGAGGGUACCCACAGGGAAGGGUUCUUAAAGGAGCAUGACUUCUGAGUUGAAUGGGAUUCACCCAUGCAAAGGCGGUUGUGAGGAAAUGGGAAGGAUUUACUCCAGGCAGAGGUGAGAGAGAGCCGUGAGUCUGGGAGGGGAAGAGGAGAGAGAUGAGGCUGUAGAGUCGGGGCCAGAUCACAUUCUAAUUAAUGAAGGCCUGACAAGGCUGGCAGCUGCUAUUUCCGUGGUUAAUUCCUCCUUUGAAAACAGUGGAAUCAACCACAAGGAGGAUUCAGCUCAUCCUCUC
RNAcentral lists this long non-coding RNA (1858 nucleotides) under Marmota monax (woodchuck). The record is from RNAcentral. Lineage: Eukaryota; Metazoa; Chordata; Mammalia; Rodentia; Sciuridae.